RNAcentral lists this ribosomal RNA (1087 nucleotides) under Actinomycetales bacterium. RNAcentral's name for it is "bacterial SSU rRNA". It matches the Rfam family "Bacterial small subunit ribosomal RNA", at positions 320 to 1411 of the family's 1533-position model. Lineage: Bacteria; Bacillati; Actinomycetota; Actinomycetes; Actinomycetales. The record is from RNAcentral.
UGAGACACGGCCCAGACUCCUACGGGAGGCAGCAGUGGGGAAUAUUGCACAAUGGGCGAAAGCCUGAUGCAGCGACGCCGCGUGAGGGAUGACGGCCUUCGGGUUGUAAACCUCUUUCAGCAGGGAAGAAGCGAAAGUGACGGUACCUGCAGAAGAAGCGCCGGCUAACUACGUGCCAGCAGCCGCGGUAAUACGUAGGGCGCAAGCGUUGUCCGGAAUUAUUGGGCGUAAAGAGCUCGUAGGCGGCUUGUCACGUCGGUUGUGAAAGCCCGGGGCUUAACCCCGGGUCUGCAGUCGAUACGGGCAGGCUAGAGUUCGGUAGGGGAGAUCGGAAUUCCUGGUGUAGCGGUGAAAUGCGCAGAUAUCAGGAGGAACACCGGUGGCGAAGGCGGAUCUCUGGGCCGAUACUGACGCUGAGGAGCGAAAGCGUGGGGAGCGAACAGGAUUAGAUACCCUGGUAGUCCACGCCGUAAACGGUGGGCACUAGGUGUGGGCAACAUUCCACGUUGUCCGUGCCGCAGCUAACGCAUUAAGUGCCCCGCCUGGGGAGUACGGCCGCAAGGCUAAAACUCAAAGGAAUUGACGGGGGCCCGCACAAGCGGCGGAGCAUGUGGCUUAAUUCGACGCAACGCGAAGAACCUUACCAAGGCUUGACAUACACCGGAAAGCUUCAGAGACGGGGCCCCCCUUGUGGUCGGUGUACAGGUGGUGCAUGGCUGUCGUCAGCUCGUGUCGUGAGAUGUUGGGUUAAGUCCCGCAACGAGCGCAACCCUUGUCCCGUGUUGCCAGCAAGCCCUUCGGGGUGUUGGGGACUCACGGGAGACCGCCGGGGUCAACUCGGAGGAAGGUGGGGACGACGUCAAGUCAUCAUGCCCCUUAUGUCUUGGGCUGCACACGUGCUACAAUGGCCGGUACAAUGAGCUGCGAUACCGCAAGGUGGAGCGAAUCUCAAAAAGCCGGUCUCAGUUCGGAUUGGGGUCUGCAACUCGACCCCAUGAAGUCGGAGUCGCUAGUAAUCGCAGAUCAGCAUUGCUGCGGUGAAUACGUUCCCGGGCCUUGUACACACCGCCCGUCACGUCACGAAAGU